Molecule: long non-coding RNA, 992 nt
Organism: Micropterus dolomieu (smallmouth bass)
Lineage: Eukaryota; Metazoa; Chordata; Actinopteri; Centrarchiformes; Centrarchidae
Exons: 3
Source: RefSeq, a predicted model, not a curated record
UCAUAUAUAACUACACUAAAGCUGCAAUAAUACUCCCUACAAAUUAUGGAUGACCACAACUAGCACUGACCGUGAAGUAAAACUGCUCCGUCUCCUGCUGAUUGGCCCGUCGCUUGGCCAGGCUGGGCUUACUGAGAUAGGAUUCGCUGAAGGUGGACUUCACCGACUCCAUGCUGUUGCUGUGGUGGAAGCACUCAGAGACGUCGUAGUCCUCCACUGUCACCAUGUCUUGGAUGGUGGCCAGGGUGGCCUCCAUGGUUUUCUUUACCUGGUGAGAACGGAAGAAAAGAAAAGACACGAAACAAAGGCUGUAACGGAAGAUGAACCAGAAGAAUGAAUAAUAUAAGAGGGAGCAGAAAGAUGGCUGACCUCUUCAUUCUCAAUCUUGAGUGUGGAGAGGCGUGACUGCAGCUGCUGACACCUCUGGAGCAGCUCGCCUUCCACCGGCUGCUGCGCACACAUCACUCCCAUCUAUACCCGCCCGCACACACAAAUAAAGACAGUGGAAAGUGAGACAGUUAACAGCGUCAUAAAAACAACCUGAUUCUGCCCUUCCCAGUGCGCAGACACUGAAUGUAUUUAUAAAGAAAAGACACUGAAUAAUAAUAACUCGAGCGCUAGAACUGUACCGUGUCUCCCAUGUGGGACUGAAAGUCAAAGCGAGCUGGGGGGCAGAAGACGUUGUUGUAGGUCUCCAUCAGCUUCUGUUUGUCACCGUUGGGCUCCAAACUUUCUGCGGCUCCAUCCAGUGUCUCCAGGCCAGAGUGUUUGGACGCCUCUACGUUCUGUUCUGCAGAUAGGUGUUGGGUCAUAAACCAAAGUGUUCUGACGUGAUGGUGGCGCUAACUGAAAACUUGUUCAUCUUAAGGGACGCUUAAGAUCAUGAUUUUUUUACACAACUCCAUGGGAAUCCAUCCAAUAGUUAUUGUAGAGAUAUUCCGGUCUGUACUAAAGCGGUGGACAGACCAAGUCGAGCCGUCUCUAGUGUGUUG